UUAACUUGGGAGUCAGAACAUGGGUGAUAAGGUCCGUGUUCGAAAGGGAAACAGCCCAGACCACCAGCUAAGGUCCCAAAAUAUAUGUUAAGUGGAAAAGGAUGUGGCGUUGCCCAGACAACUAGGAUGUUGGCUUAGAAGCAGCCAUCAUUUAAAGAGUGCGUAAUAGCUCACUAGUCGAGUGACACUGCGCCGAAAAUGUACCGGGGCUAAACAUAUUACCGAAGCUGUGGAUUGUCCUUUGGACAAUGGUAGGAGAGCGUUCUAAGGGCGUUGAAGCAUGAUCGUAAGGACAUGUGGAGCGCUUAGAAGUGAGAAUGCCGGUGUGAGUAGCGAAAGACGGGUGAGAAUCCCGUCCACCGAUUGACUAAGGUUUCCAGAGGAAGGCUCGUCCGCUCUGGGUUAGUCGGGUCCUAAGCUGAGGCCGACAGGCGUAGGCGAUGGAUAACAGGUUGAUAUUCCUGUACCACCUAUAAUCGUUUUAAUCGAUGGGGGGACGCAGUAGGAUAGGCGAAGCGUGCGAUUGGAUUGCACGUCUAAGCAGUAAGGCUGAGUAUUAGGCAAAUCCGGUACUCGUUAAGGCUGAGCUGUGAUGGGGAGAAGACAUUGUGUCUUCGAGUCGUUGAUUUCACACUGCCGAGAAAAGCCUCUAGAUAGAAAAUAGGUGCCCGUACCGCAAACCGACACAGGUAGUCAAGAUGAGAAUUCUAAGGUGAGCGAGCGAACUCUCGUUAAGGAACUCGGCAAAAUGACCCCGUAACUUCGGGAGAAGGGGUGCUCUUUAGGGUUAACGCCCAGAAGAGCCGCAGUGAAUAGGCCCAAGCGACUGUUUAUCAAAAACACAGGUCUCUGCUAAACCGUAAGGUGAUGUAUAGGGGCUGACGCCUGCCCGGUGCUGGAAGGUUAAGAGGAGUGGUUAGCUUCUGCGAAGCUACGAAUCGAAGCCCCAGUAAACGGCGGCCGUAACUAUAACGGUCCUAAGGUAGCGAAAUUCCUUGUCGGGUAAGUUCCGACCCGCACGAAAGGCGUAACGAUUUGGGCACUGUCUCAACGAGAGACUCGGUGAAAUCAUAGUACCUGUGAAGAUGCAGGUUACCCGCGACAGGACGGAAAGACCCCGUGGAGCUUUACUGUAGCCUGAUAUUGAAAUUCGGCACAGCUUGUACAGGAUAGGUAGGAGCCUUUGAAACGUGAGCGCUAGCUUACGUGGAGGCGCUGGUGGG
Molecule: ribosomal RNA, 1223 nt
Filed under: Staphylococcus aureus
Lineage: Bacteria; Bacillati; Bacillota; Bacilli; Caryophanales; Staphylococcaceae
Description: partial 23S ribosomal RNA
Rfam family: Bacterial large subunit ribosomal RNA
Source: RNAcentral